GCGGGUGUGGCGGAACGGGUAGACGCACCAGAUUUAGGUUCUGGCGCCGCGAGGCGUGGGGGUUCAAGUCCCUCCACCCGCACCA
This 85-nucleotide transfer RNA is filed under the name Rhodobacteraceae bacterium WD3A24. RNAcentral describes it as "tRNA-Leu". It matches the Rfam family "tRNA". Rfam says of the family: Transfer RNA (tRNA) molecules are approximately 80 nucleotides in length. Their secondary structure includes four short double-helical elements and three loops (D, anti-codon, and T loops). Further hydrogen bonds mediate the characteristic L-shaped molecular structure. tRNAs have two regions of fundamental functional importance: the anti-codon, which is responsible for specific mRNA codon recognition, and the 3' end, to which the tRNAs corresponding amino acid is attached (by aminoacyl-tRNA synthetases). tRNAs cope with the degeneracy of the genetic code in two manners: having more than one tRNA (with a specific anti-codon) for a particular amino acid; and 'wobble' base-pairing, i.e. permitting non-standard base-pairing at the 3rd anti-codon position. Lineage: Bacteria; Pseudomonadati; Pseudomonadota; Alphaproteobacteria; Rhodobacterales; Paracoccaceae. The record is from RNAcentral.